GUGACUAUGCCUUUUAAAAAUGUUGUGUUUAAAUGUACCAUUUCUCCUGGUUCUUUUUUAGCAUAUUUGUAUUUGCAAUCACACUGAGCUAAAAUAAUACAAAGCUGCUGCAACUACCAUACUGAAAUGACAUUUUGUGCUUUAGAUUUAUCCCUAUUGCACUGAAGAAUACUCCUUAUGAAACUAUGUCUGCCUGCUCAGUGAGCUGUAGAUAACCCACUGGAAACACUGAACAUUAAUAAUAAGAUGAAUCAGGCAAACCAGACUAUUUUUGCAUUUUCAAUAGAACUUUUUUAAGGUGACAAGUGCAAGUGAUGCAUUCCACUCCUUCAAAUAGUGUAAAUAAACAACAAAAAUUAUGAACUUGCAGAAAUAAUGGUUCUUUCACUGAAAUAUUCAAGAUAAACUCUUUGAUUUUGCAGUUCUGAUGAAGGUUUUAUAUUUUACCUUGGUGGAAGCCACAGCUGAAGCACACAGGAACUUUCAUCCAGUGUUCAUCAGUCUCAGGUGUUAAUCCUUUCUCUGCCAGUGUUACCAAGUCAACACCCAGCUCCUCACUGCAGAAAUUGUGUCUUCAUUGCUGGCUUUGAACCUAAAUAAGACAAUUCCAUUUUAGCUUCUGCUGUAAAUAUUUGGAUCAUUUCCCUUUUGAAAAAAAGGGGGUAAACUGCAGCGUGUUCAAGAGCAUCUUCACAAGGCAAGAAUGGCAAAGUGCCUCUUACAAUUCCAACUUGUACAGAUGGCUACAGAAAGAAUUCACCUCCUGUACUGAAGCUAGCAGCUAAAACAGUGGCAACCCUGGAAGUCAGGACCCUCUUUUGGGUAAUCAGC
RNAcentral lists this long non-coding RNA (831 nucleotides) under Parus major (Great Tit). RNAcentral describes it as "lncRNA (ENSPMJG00000012199.1)". The record is from RNAcentral. Lineage: Eukaryota; Metazoa; Chordata; Aves; Passeriformes; Paridae.